AUUGAACGCUGGCGGCAGGCCUAACACAUGCAAGUCGAGCGGAUGAAGGGAGCUUGCUCCUGGAUUCAGCGGCGGACGGGCGAGUAAUGCCUAGGAAUGUGCCUGGUAGUGGGGGAUAACGUCCGGAAACGGGCGCUAAUACCGCAUACGUCCUGAGGGAGAAAGUGGGGGAUCUUCGGACCUCACGCUAUAAGAUGAGCCUAGGUCGGAUUAGCUAGUUGGUGGGGUAAAGGCCUACCAAGGCGACGAUCCGUAACUGGUCUGAGAGGAUGAUCAGUCACACUGGAACUGAGACACGGUCCAGACUCCUACGGGAGGCAGCAGUGGGGAAUAUUGGACAAUGGGCGAAAGCCUGAUCCAGCCAUGCCGCGUGUGUGAAGAAGGUCUUCGGAUUGUAAAGCACUUUAAGUUGGGAGGAAGGGCAGUAAGUUAAUACCUUGCUGUUUUGACGUUACCAACAGAAUAAGCACCGGCUAACUUCGUG
RNAcentral lists this ribosomal RNA (484 nucleotides) under uncultured bacterium. Its description in RNAcentral is "partial 16S ribosomal RNA". It matches the Rfam family "Bacterial small subunit ribosomal RNA", at positions 30 to 507 of the family's 1533-position model. The record is from RNAcentral.